Molecule: long non-coding RNA, 1399 nt
Filed under: Ananas comosus (pineapple)
Lineage: Eukaryota; Viridiplantae; Streptophyta; Magnoliopsida; Poales; Bromeliaceae
Description: long non-coding RNA (ACOM_LNC039971)
Source: RNAcentral
UCAAAUCUCAUGCACCGUAUUCCUUAAACCCUACAUACCUAAGCGGCACUAGGGAUGUCAACGGGUCGGAUUCGGGGCAGAUUUUAAAAAUCCGAACUUGAAUAUGAACCCGAAAUCCAAACCCAAACCUACUGGAUUUCAAAAAUCCAUAUCCAAUUAUCCAAAACCGAAUCCAACUAAAAACUCGAAAUCUGAACCAAAUUCGAAUAUAAAAAUCCGAACCCGAAAUAAUUAUUCCUCUUUUCAAUAUUUCAAAAUAUAUUACAUUAAAUCUAAAUUUUUAAAAUACAAAUUCAAAUAUAACAUCAAAUUUUUAUAUACAUAUCAUAUAUAAUGUAAAAUAAAUUUGGGUUCGAAUCGGAUUGGGUCAGGUAUAGUCAAAAUCCAUAUCUGUACCCUUAUCCGUCGGGUUUUUUAUUUUUGAUAUUCAUAUCCGAAAUCAUAUCCAUUUAACAUCGGAUAAAUUCGUUCCGUUCGUAUUUGGGUUCAGAUAAAAUUUCGAGUAUUCGUACCUAUUGAAAUCGCAGCAAUAUAUGAACACAGAACACAGAACACGGCCCUACUCGGACAGGACGAUUUAACGGUUUCAAAAAAAUUAAAAUACCAGUACGAUAUGAGCACCAUUAAUAAAAUAUAAUAUUAUCAUUAUAAUAAUUGGAGGUAGCCGGCUACAAUAAGUAACUCGGAUGCCUCCAUGCUACCAAGUUAUUUUCAAUUAUGCGGCUUCUAAAUCAACAAUCAGCUCCGCAAGACUUUAUCAAUACUAUUGAAAGUAUUGAAAGUAUUUAAAAACUAAAUUUCAUAAUUUCGAUAUUAUUUGGCUAGUGAUCAAAAUGUUUCAAAAUUGACAAUUUUAAUGAUCGAUAUAAUGCGUUUGUGAAUUUAAUGGUAUAAAAUAAUUCAAAUCUGAUGAAAUUUUUAUAAUUUUUUUUUUUCAUUAUAUAUGAGUAAGAUCAAUACCUCUAAUUUUAUAUUCAAAUUUUUUAUCAUUAUUUUUUAUGAGAUUUUUAUUUUUAGCCGUUUAACUUUAAACUACUUAUUUGAUAGCUAAAUGAUGUCAAAAAAUUAUGAAAUUUAGUUUUCAAAUGUUUUCGAUAGUGUAGAUCAAGUCUAAGAGAGCCGAUCAUCGAUUUGGAACCCACAUCGUUAAAAACAAUUUUGUAGCACGGAAGUCUCCGUGUUACUGAUAGUAUAGCAGCCGGACUCUAUAUUUAUCAUAUAUAAAUUAUCAACUUUAUUAAAAUAUUAUUAUAUUUUUCACAUGAAUGAAAAUUAAUAAAACUUUUGUUAAUAGUUUAUAUAUUUUUUAAAAAAUAUUUUUCACCAGACAUAAUUUAUUUAUAUUGUUCAAAAAAAUUUAUAUGCAUACAUUAAAAAGCCAAAAUAUUUAUCAUUUUAU